CAGACGUGAGCCACUGUGCCUGGUUCUGGAGCCUCUCUCUCUCUCUCUCUUUCAUUGCUCUUCUCUUUGUGUCUCUCUCACUCUCAUUUUCUCCCUGUCUCUCCUAUCCUCUGUCUCACUUUUUCUCUUGGUUUCUGUCUCAUUUUCUCUUUCUCUUUUGCCUCGAUUUUCUCUGCCUCUCUCAUGCUCCUACUUUCUCUCUCCUUGUCUCCCGUCCCCAACCC
RNAcentral lists this long non-coding RNA (224 nucleotides) under Homo sapiens (human). RNAcentral's name for it is "lncAB479.1". Lineage: Eukaryota; Metazoa; Chordata; Mammalia; Primates; Hominidae. The record is from RNAcentral.